Molecule: ribosomal RNA, 468 nt
Filed under: uncultured bacterium
Lineage: Bacteria
Description: partial 16S ribosomal RNA
Rfam family: Bacterial small subunit ribosomal RNA
Source: RNAcentral
GACGAACGCUGGCGGCGUGCUUAACACAUGCAAGUCGAACGGAAAGGCCCUGCUUUUGUGGUGUGCUCGAGUGGCGAACGGGUGAGUAACACGUGAGUAACCUGACCUUGACUUUGGGAUAACUUCAGGAAACUGGGGCUAAUACCGGAUAGGAGCUCCUGCUGCAUGGUGGGGGUUGGAAAGUUUCGGCGGUUGGGGAUGGACUCGCGGCUUAUCAGCUUGUUGGUGGGGUAGUGGCUUACCAAGGCUUUGACGGGUAGCCGGCCUGAGAGGGUGACCGGCCACAUUGGGACUGAGAUACGGCCCAGACUCCUACGGGAGGCAGCAGUGGGGAAUAUUGCACAAUGGGCGGAAGCCUGAUGCAGCAGCGCCGCGUGCGGGAUGACGGCCUUCGGGUUGUAAACCGCUUUCGCCUGUGACGAAGCGUGAGUGACGGUAAUGGGUAAAGAAGCACCGGCUAACUACGUG